Molecule: long non-coding RNA, 691 nt
Organism: Lontra canadensis (Northern American river otter)
Lineage: Eukaryota; Metazoa; Chordata; Mammalia; Carnivora; Mustelidae
Exons: 4
Source: RefSeq, a predicted model, not a curated record
AUUAACAAAUGUAUUUCCUCUUCUGGGAAUGGUGUUCUCUCACAGCAUCAUUCUGAAUGAUCACUUUCCAGAGAUGCAAGACGUUAGUCUUUCAAAUGAACUGUAUGGUGAUGGACAAAGCCAGUGGUUCUAAGGGCAGGAGACUGGUGCUACCCUUGGGCCUGGGAGAAGCAUUAGAAUCAAGAGCACAGCUACUGGAGCCAGACUGCUUGGAUCUGAAUUUACUUCUGCUACCAGCUAUGUAUAAUAAUUAAUAGCAAUCUCCUUACUCUCAAAAGUACGUGAUCAACCUACUGAUGGGUCAGAUAAAAUUAAAGUUGAAAUGUAUAAGUGGUAGCCGUAGCAAGACAAAUUUUGGCAGAUUGUUGAAGAUGGAUGCCUGGUUGGAAGGGUUUACAAAAAUGGAUGACAACAACUGGAGACAGUUAGAUGAUUAUUUUGAAGACUUUUGCUACAAGAAAGAGAAGAAAUGAGUUCAUAGGUCAUCCCCCCAUAAUGAACCAAGUUGAUAUUUGAGGAUUGGACUGUGCAGCACUCAGAGUUCUUGAACCUUGAGAUGAAUGCAGUACCUGCCUGGGAUUGGUGUCCUCUUUCUUGGGGAGCAGAGUUGGAAAUUGAAGAAUGCAAUGGAAAGCAAGAUGAACGAGGCAAGAGUGUGUAGCUGUCAAUCCUGGAUCCAGGGAGCCAUUUC